RNAcentral lists this non-coding RNA (21 nucleotides) under Caenorhabditis elegans. Lineage: Eukaryota; Metazoa; Nematoda; Chromadorea; Rhabditida; Rhabditidae. The record is from RNAcentral.
UUUAAUUCAAAAACUAACUUG